This 564-nucleotide ribosomal RNA is filed under the name uncultured bacterium. Its description in RNAcentral is "partial 16S ribosomal RNA". It matches the Rfam family "Bacterial small subunit ribosomal RNA", at positions 355 to 913 of the family's 1533-position model. The record is from RNAcentral.
UGGGGAAUUUUGGACAAUGGGCGAAAGCCUGAUCCAGCAAUGCCGCGUGUGUGAAGAAGGCCUUCGGGUUGUAAAGCACUUUUGUCCGGAAAGAAAUCCUUGGCUCUAAUACAGUCGGGGGAUGACGGUACCGGAAGAAUAAGCACCGGCUAACUACGUGCCAGCAGCCGCGGUAAUACGUAGGGUGCAAGCGUUAAUCGGAAUUACUGGGCGUAAAGCGUGCGCAGGCGGUUUGCUAAGACCGAUGUGAAAUCCCCGGGCUCAACCUGGGAACUGCAUUGGUGACUGGCAGGCUAGAGUAUGGCAGAGGGGGGUUAGAAUUCCACGUGUAGCAGUGAAAUGCGUAGAGAUGUGGAGGAAUACCGAUGGCGAAGGCAGCCCCCUGGGCCAAUACUGACGCUCAUGCACGAAAGCGUGGGGAGCAAACAGGAUUAGAUACCCUGGUAGUCCACGCCCUAAACGAUGUCAACUAGUUGUUGGGGAUUCAUUCCUUAGUAACGUAGCUAACGCGUGAAGUUGACCGCCUGGGGAGUACGGUCGCAAGAUUAAAACUUAAUGAAUUGA